CAAAAGCGUAUAUUAAAGUUGUUGCAGUUAAAAAGCUCGUAGUUGAACCUUGGGCUUGGCUGGCCGGUCCAUCUUUUUUGAUGCGUACUGGACCCAGCCGAGCCUUUCCUUCUGGCUAGCCUUUUGGCGAACCAGGACUUUUACUUUGAAGAAAUUAGAGUGUUCAAAGCAGGCCUUUGCUCGAAUAUAUUAGCAUGGAAUAAUAGAAUAGGACGUUAUGGUUCUAUUUUGUUGGUUUCUAGGACCAUCGUAAUGAUUAAUAGGGACGGUCGGGGGUAUCAGUAUUCAGUUGUCAGAGGUGAAAUUCUUGGAUUUACUGAAGACUAACUACUGCGAAAGCAUUUACCAAGGACGUUUUCAUUAA
This 364-nucleotide ribosomal RNA is filed under the name uncultured eukaryote. RNAcentral's name for it is "partial 18S ribosomal RNA". It matches the Rfam family "Eukaryotic small subunit ribosomal RNA", at positions 592 to 976 of the family's 1831-position model. The record is from RNAcentral.